GUGGGGCUCAACGGAGCAGGCCUGUAGUCCCAGCUCCUAGAGAGGCUGAGACAAGAGGGUUGCAUGAUCCCAGGAGUUCUAGGCUGCAGUGUGCUAUUCCAAUUUGGUGUCCACACUAAGUUCAGCAUCAAUACGGUGACCUUCUGGGAGCAGAGGACCAGCGAAUUGCCUAUGGAGGGGUGAAUUGGUCCAGGGUAGAAAUAGAGCAAGUCAAAACUCUCGUGCUUGAAAUGGGAUUACUCCUACGAAUGGCCACUGCAUUCCAGCCUGGACAAUAUAGCAAGACCUCAUCUCU
RNAcentral lists this signal recognition particle RNA (295 nucleotides) under Pongo abelii (Sumatran orangutan). It matches the Rfam family "Metazoan signal recognition particle RNA". Rfam says of the family: The signal recognition particle (SRP) is a universally conserved ribonucleoprotein. It is involved in the co-translational targeting of proteins to membranes. The eukaryotic SRP consists of a 300-nucleotide 7S RNA and six proteins: SRPs 72, 68, 54, 19, 14, and 9. Lineage: Eukaryota; Metazoa; Chordata; Mammalia; Primates; Hominidae. The record is from RNAcentral.